CCCACAAACAUUUCCACCUUAGCAAAACCGCUAAUCUCGAAUUCCAAAAAGGACAAAAUCGUAAACCCAACACAAAACCCACCCCCAAUAACGAUUACCCACGUCGCCCCCAAUCAGUAAACAACGUUCGUUGGCAACACAAAGAGAAAGAAACUUUUUCAAACGGAGAGAGAGAAAGAGAGAAAGAGAGAGAAACAGAAACAAACACUGAAACAACACUUAUUUCAAUUUCUUUCUCUCUCCUCUUCUCCUUCUCCGAUUCGCUUUCUCUCUCCUCGUCGAUCCCAAAUCUAUCAGGUCAGGGUUCCAUUUUUCUUAUGUUCUUCCGUUUCAAAUUCUUAUCAGCUUGUUUAUUGUUGCUUUAA
Vicia faba (fava bean) is the source of this 365-nucleotide non-coding RNA. The record is from the annotation of a GenBank genome assembly. NCBI's taxonomy places the organism in Eukaryota, Viridiplantae, Streptophyta, Magnoliopsida, Fabales, Fabaceae.